Molecule: ribosomal RNA, 206 nt
Filed under: uncultured bacterium
Lineage: Bacteria
Description: partial 16S ribosomal RNA
Rfam family: Bacterial small subunit ribosomal RNA
Source: RNAcentral
CGCGUAGGCGGAGCGCUAAGCGGGACCUCUAACCCGAGGGCUCAACCCCCGGCCGGGUCCCGAACUGGCGCUCUCGAGUGCGGUAGGGGAGAGCGGAAUUCCCGGUGUAGCGGUGGAAUGCGCAGAUAUCGGGAAGAACACCGACGGCGAAGGCGGCUCUCUGGACUGUAACUGACACUGAGGCACGAAAGCGUGGGGAGCAAACA